Molecule: ribosomal RNA, 254 nt
Filed under: uncultured bacterium
Lineage: Bacteria
Description: partial 16S ribosomal RNA
Rfam family: Bacterial small subunit ribosomal RNA
Source: RNAcentral
UACGUAGGGUGCGAGCGUUGUCCGGAAUUAUUGGGCGUAAAGAGCUCGUAGGCGGUGUGUCACGUCGGCCGUGAAAACCUGGGGCUUAACUCUGGGCGUGCGGUCGAUACGGGCAUCACUAGAGUUCGGCAGGGGAGACUGGAAUUCCUGGUGUAGCGGUGAAAUGCGCAGAUAUCAGGAGGAACACCGGUGGCGAAGGCGGGUCUCUGGGCCGAUACUGACGCUGAGACGCGAAAGCGUGGGGAGCAAACAGG